Molecule: ribosomal RNA, 200 nt
Filed under: uncultured bacterium
Lineage: Bacteria
Description: partial 16S ribosomal RNA
Rfam family: Bacterial small subunit ribosomal RNA
Source: RNAcentral
GACGAACCGUCCAAACGUUAUUCGGUAUCACUGGGCUUAAAGCGUGCGUAGGCGGCUUGGUAGGUGUGAUGUGAAAGCCCACGGCUCAACCGUGGAAUUGCGUCGCAAACCCCCAAGCUUGAGGAAGACAGGGGUGUUGGGAACUUAUGGUGGAGCGGUGAAAUGCGUUGAUAUCAUAGGGAACACCGGUGGCGAAGGCG